This 504-nucleotide unclassified non-coding RNA is filed under the name uncultured Glomus. RNAcentral describes it as "SSU rRNA". It matches the Rfam family "Eukaryotic small subunit ribosomal RNA", at positions 569 to 1078 of the family's 1831-position model. Lineage: Eukaryota; Fungi; Glomeromycota; Glomeromycetes; Glomerales; Glomeraceae. The record is from RNAcentral.
AGCAGCCGCGGUAAUUCCAGCUCCAAUAGCGUAUAUUAAAGUUGUUGCAGUUAAAAGCUCGUAGUUGAAUUUCGGGGUUAGCAGGUCGGUCGUGCCAUCGGUAUGAACUGGUCUCGCUCAUCCCUCCCUCUUGACGAACUGUGAUGCCAUUAAUUUGGUGUCGCAGGGAAUCAGGACUGUUACUUUGAAAAAUUGAGUGUUUAAAGCAGGCUCACGCUUGAAUACAUUAGCAUGGAAUAAUGAAAUAGGACGUUUGAUCCUAUUUUGUUGGUUUCUAGGAUUGACGUAAUGAUUAAUAGGGAUAGUUGGGGGCAUUAGUAUUCAAUUGUCAGAGGUGAAAUUCUUGGAUUUAUUGAAGACUAACUACUGCGAAGGCAUUUGCCAAGGAUGUUUUCAUUAAUCAAGAACGAAAGUUAGGGAUCGAAGACGAUCAGAUACCGUCGUAGUCUUAACCAUAAACUAUGCCGACUAGGGAUCGGAUGAUGUUAAUUUUUAAUGUACUCU